GCCGAAUUAGCUCAGUUGGUAGAGCAACGCAUUCGUAACGCGUAGGUCUGGGGUUCGAGUCCCCAACUCGGCUCAA
RNAcentral lists this transfer RNA (76 nucleotides) under Bacteroidales bacterium. RNAcentral describes it as "tRNA-Thr". It matches the Rfam family "tRNA". From Rfam's summary of the family: Transfer RNA (tRNA) molecules are approximately 80 nucleotides in length. Their secondary structure includes four short double-helical elements and three loops (D, anti-codon, and T loops). The record is from RNAcentral. Lineage: Bacteria; Pseudomonadati; Bacteroidota; Bacteroidia; Bacteroidales.